ACUUAAGCAUAUCAAUAAGCGGAGGAAAAGAAACCAACAGGGAUUGCCCCAGUAACGGCGAGUGAAGCGGCAACAGCUCAAAUUUGAAAUCUGGCCCCCCGCGGGCCCGAGUUGUACUUUGGAGAGGACGCUUCUGGCGCGGCGCCGUCCGAGUUCCCUGGAACGGGACGCCGGAGAGGGUGAGAGCCCCGUACGGGCGGCCGCCUAGCCUCUGCGAAGCUCCUUCGACGAGUCGAGUAGUUUGGGAAUGCUGCUCAAAAUGGGAGGUAAAUUUCUUCUAAAGCUAAAUACCGGCCAGAGACCGAUAGCGCACAAGUAGAGUGAUCGAAAGAUGAAAAGCACUUUGAAAAGAGGGUCAAACAGUACGUGAAAUUGUUGAAAGGGAAGCGCCUGUGGCCAGACUUGCGCCCCGCGGACCACCCGGCGCCUCGCGCGCCGGGGCACGCCAGCGGGGCGCAGGCCAGCAUCGGCUCUCUCGGGGGGACAAAGGCCGCGGGAACGUAGCGCCCUCGCGGCGUAUUAUAGCCCGCGGCGCCAUGCCCCCGGGGGGGCCGAGGACCGCGCUCCGGCAAGGAUGCUGGCGUAAUGGCCACCGGCGACCCGUCUUGAAACACGGACCAAGGAGUCAAGCAUUGGGGCGAGUGUCUGGGUGGCAAGCCCGCACGCGGAAUGAAAGUGAACGCAGGUGGGAGCUUCGGCGCACCACCGACCGAUCCUGAUGUCCUCGGAUGGAUUUGAGUAGGAGCCCCGCCGCUUGGACCCGAAAGAUGGUGAACUAUGCCUGUAUAGGGUGAAGCCAGAGGAAACUCUGGUGGAGGCCCGCAGCGGUUCUGACGUGCAAAUCGAUCGUCAAAUAUGGGCAUGGGGGCGAAAGACUAAUCGAACCAUCUAGUAGCUGGUUACCGCCGAAGUCCCCC
This 917-nucleotide ribosomal RNA is filed under the name Harringtonia lauricola. RNAcentral describes it as "Raffaelea lauricola partial large subunit ribosomal RNA". It matches the Rfam family "Eukaryotic large subunit ribosomal RNA", at positions 32 to 972 of the family's 3401-position model. The record is from RNAcentral. Lineage: Eukaryota; Fungi; Ascomycota; Sordariomycetes; Ophiostomatales; Ophiostomataceae.